UGGGGAGCGAACAGGAUUAGAUACCCUGGUAGUCCACGCCGUAAACGUUGGGCGCUAGGUGUGGGGCUCAUUCCACGAGUUCCGUGCCGCAGCUAACGCAUUAAGCGCCCCGCCUGGGGAGUACGGCCGCAAGGCUAAAACUCAAAGGAAUUGACGGGGGCCCGCACAAGCGGCGGAGCAUGUUGCUUAAUUCGAUGCAACGCGAAGAACCUUACCUAGGCUUGACAUGCGCGGAAAUCCUCCAGAGAUGGUGGGUCCGUAAGGGCCGUGCACAGGUGGUGCAUGGUUGUCGUCAGCUCGUGUCGUGAGAUGUUGGGUUAAGUCCCGCAACGAGCGCAACCCUCGUUCUAUGUUGCCAGCACGUCAUGGUGGGGACUCAUAGGAGACUGCCGGGGUCAACUCGGAGGAAGGUGGGGAUGACGUCAAAUCAUCAUGCCCCUUAUGUCUAGGGCUGCAAACAUGCUACAAUGGCCGGUACAAAGGGCUGCGAUACCGCGAGGUGGAGCGAAUCCCAAAAAGCCGGUCUCAGUUCGGAUUGGGGUCUGCAACUCGACCCCAUGAAGUUGGAGUCGCUAGUAAUCGCAGAUCAGCAACGCUGCGGUGAAACGUUCCCGGGCUUGCACACACCGCCCGUCA
RNAcentral lists this ribosomal RNA (636 nucleotides) under uncultured bacterium. RNAcentral's name for it is "bacterial SSU rRNA". It matches the Rfam family "Bacterial small subunit ribosomal RNA", at positions 762 to 1399 of the family's 1533-position model. The record is from RNAcentral.